GACGAACGCUGGCGGCGUGCUUAACACAUGCAAGUCGAACGGAAAGGCCUCUUUCGGGGGGUACUCGCGUGGCGAACGGGUGAGUAACACGUGAGUAUCCUGCGCUUUACUUUGGGAUAUAUUCAGGAAACUGGGGCUAAUACCGCAUAUGAGCUCCUGCUGCAUGGUGGGUGUUGGAAAGUUUCGGCGGUUGGGGAUGGGCUCGCGGCCUAUCAGCUUGUUGGUGGGGUAGUGGCUUACCAAGGCUUUGACGGGUAGCCGGCCUGAGAGGGUGACCGGCCACAUUGGGGGUGAGAGACGGCCAAGACGCCUACGGGAGGCAGCAGUGGGGAAUAUUGCACAAUGGGCGCAAGCCUGAUGCAGCGACGCCGCGUGGGGGAUGACGGCCUUCGGGGUGUAAACGCCUUUCGCUAGGGACGAAGCGUUUUGUGACGGUACCUGGAGAAGAAGCACCGGCUAACUACGUG
This 467-nucleotide ribosomal RNA is filed under the name uncultured bacterium. RNAcentral's name for it is "partial 16S ribosomal RNA". It matches the Rfam family "Bacterial small subunit ribosomal RNA", at positions 28 to 507 of the family's 1533-position model. The record is from RNAcentral.